GGGGAUGUAGCUCAGUGGCAUAAGUGCCUGCCUGGCAAGCAGGAGGUCGUGAGUUUGAUCCCCCCCCCCA
Transfer RNA from Cavia porcellus (domestic guinea pig), 70 nucleotides. It matches the Rfam family "tRNA". From Rfam's summary of the family: Transfer RNA (tRNA) molecules are approximately 80 nucleotides in length. Lineage: Eukaryota; Metazoa; Chordata; Mammalia; Rodentia; Caviidae. The record is from Rfam.